CAGUCGCCACGGGAAUACGUAGGUGGCAAGCGUUGUCCGGAAUUAUUGGGCGUAAAGGGCUCGCAGGCGGUUUCUUAAGUCUGAUGUGAAAGCCCCCGGCUCAACCGGGGAGGGUCAUUGGAAACCGGGAAACUUGAGUGCAGAAGAGGAGAGUGGAAUUCCACGUGCAGUGGUGAAAUGCGUAGGGAUGUGGGGGAACACCAGUGGCGAAGGCGACUCUCUGGUCUGUAACUGACGCUGAGGAGCGAAAGCGUGGGGAGCGAACAGGAUUAGAUACCCCCGUAGUCCCUGUCUCUUAUAA
RNAcentral lists this ribosomal RNA (301 nucleotides) under uncultured bacterium. RNAcentral describes it as "partial 16S ribosomal RNA". It matches the Rfam family "Bacterial small subunit ribosomal RNA", at positions 509 to 809 of the family's 1533-position model. The record is from RNAcentral.